RNAcentral lists this long non-coding RNA (633 nucleotides) under Lathyrus oleraceus (garden pea). Its description in RNAcentral is "Pisum sativum (pea) long non-coding RNA (PSAT_LNC041411)". Lineage: Eukaryota; Viridiplantae; Streptophyta; Magnoliopsida; Fabales; Fabaceae. The record is from RNAcentral.
UGUAUGUGUCUGUGAUGUGUGUGUGUGAUGUGUGUGUAUGUAUGAUGUGUGAUGUGUGUGUGUGAUAUGAUAUAUGUGUGUGUGUGUGUGAUGUGUGUGUGUGUGUGUGAUAUAUGUGUGUGUGAUGUGUGAUGUGUGAUGUGUGUGUGUGUGUAUGUAUGUGUUUGUGUGUUGUGGGUGUGAUGUGUGUGUGUGUGUGUAAUUUGUGUAUGAUGUGAUCUGUGUGUAUGUAAUGUGUAUGAUAUAUGUGUGUGUGCGUAUCUCUGUGUGUGUGUGUGAUGUGAUGUUUGUGUGAUUUUUGUGUAUAUGUGUGUGUUUGAUUUGUGUGUGUGUGUGUGUAAUGUGUGUGUGUGUGUGAUGUGUGUGAUAUGUGAUGUGUGUGUGUGAUAUAUGUGUGAUGUGUGUGUGAUAUGUGUGUGUGUUAUAUGUAUGAUAUGCGUGUUUGAUAUGUGGGUGUGAUGUGUGUGUGAUGUGUGUGUGUGUGUGCGUGAUGUAUGUGUAAUGUGUGUGUUUGUGAUAUAUGUGUGUGUGAUGUGUGUGUGUGAUAUGUGUGUGUGAUGUGUGUGUGAUGUAUGUGAUGUGUGUGUGAUAUGUGUGAUGUGUGUAUAUAUGUGUGUGAUGUGUGUGUGUGUG